RNAcentral lists this ribosomal RNA (230 nucleotides) under uncultured bacterium. RNAcentral describes it as "partial 16S ribosomal RNA". It matches the Rfam family "Bacterial small subunit ribosomal RNA", at positions 118 to 348 of the family's 1533-position model. The record is from RNAcentral.
UGAGUAACCUGCCCUUAACUCUGGGAUAAGCCUGGGAAACUGGGUCUAAUACCGGAUAUGACUCCUCAUCGCAUGGUGGGGGGUGGAAAGCUUUAUUGUGGUUUUGGAUGGACUCGCGGCCUAUCAGCUUGUUGGUGAGGUAAUGGCUUACCAAGGCGACGAUCAGUAGCUGGUCUGAGAGGAUGACCAGCCACACUGGGACUGAGACACGGCCCAGACUCCUAGGGAGG